UCGGGAAUUUUGGGCAAUGGGCGCAAGCCUGACCCAGCAACGCCGCGUGAAGGAUGAAAUCCCUCGGGAUGUAAACUUCGCAAGAACAGGAAGAAUAAGCUCGUGUUAAUAGCACGAGUGAUGACGGUACUGUUUGUAAGCUCCGGCUAACUCCGUGCCAGCAGCCGCGGUAAUACGGGGGGAGCAAGCGUUGUUCGGAUUUACUGGGCGUAAAGGGCGCGUAGGCGGUCAGUGCAAGUCAGUUGUGAAAUCUCCGGGCUUAACUCGGAAAGGUCAACUGAUACUGCUCGACUAGAGUGCGGAAGGGGCAACUGGAAUUCUUGGUGUAGCGGUGAAAUGCGUAGAUAUCAAGAGGAACACCUGCGGCGAAGGCGGGUUGCUGGGCCGACACUGACGCUGAGGCGCGAAAGCUAGGGGAGCGAACGG
This 426-nucleotide ribosomal RNA is filed under the name uncultured bacterium. Its description in RNAcentral is "bacterial SSU rRNA". It matches the Rfam family "Bacterial small subunit ribosomal RNA", at positions 355 to 775 of the family's 1533-position model. The record is from RNAcentral.